Molecule: ribosomal RNA, 213 nt
Filed under: Triticum aestivum (bread wheat)
Lineage: Eukaryota; Viridiplantae; Streptophyta; Magnoliopsida; Poales; Poaceae
Description: partial small subunit ribosomal RNA
Source: RNAcentral
AUGAGGUACGACUCCGAAUGGGAGGAAGUAAAGCUCAUCAAUGGCUACGCCAUGCUCUUUGCGUACGUGGGGUUUGCCUUCAGGGGCAUAGGCUUCUUGGUGGUUACAUGGACCACGGUUGUUCUUCUCGGUGGAUUCGUCUCUAUGAUAGACACCAAGGAUUUCUGGCUUCUCACGCUGGUUACCCUCACGCAGAUACUCUGGUUAGUCUAA